UACGGGGGGAGCAAGCGUUGUUCGGAUUUACUGGGCGUAAAGGGCGCGUAGGCGGCCUUCGCAAGUCGACUGUGAAAUCUCCGGGCUUAACCCGGAAAGGUCAGCCGAAACUGCGGGGCUAGAGUGCAGAAGGGGCAACUGGAAUUCUCGGUGUAGCGGUGAAAUGCGUAGAUAUCGAGAGGAACACCUGCGGCGAAGGCGGGUUGCUGGGCUGACACUGACGCUGAGGCGCGAAAGCUAGGGGAGCGAACGGG
This 254-nucleotide ribosomal RNA is filed under the name uncultured bacterium. RNAcentral describes it as "partial 16S ribosomal RNA". It matches the Rfam family "Bacterial small subunit ribosomal RNA", at positions 524 to 776 of the family's 1533-position model. The record is from RNAcentral.